RNAcentral lists this ribosomal RNA (253 nucleotides) under uncultured bacterium. Its description in RNAcentral is "partial 16S ribosomal RNA". It matches the Rfam family "Bacterial small subunit ribosomal RNA", at positions 524 to 776 of the family's 1533-position model. The record is from RNAcentral.
UACGUAGGGGGCAAGCGUUGUCCGGAUUUAUUGGGCGUAAAGAGCGUGUAGGCGGCCAUUCAGGUCAGCUGUGAAAACUCGAGGCUCAACCUCGAGACGUCGGUUGAAACCGUUUGGCUAGAGUCCGGAAGAGGAGAGUGGAAUUCCCGGUGUAGCGGUGAAAUGCGCAGAUAUCGGGAAGAACACCCGUGGCGAAGGCGGCUCUCUGGGACGGUACUGACGCUGAGACGCGAAAGCUAGGGGAGCAAACAGG